This is a long non-coding RNA of Lynx canadensis (Canada lynx), 747 nucleotides long. RefSeq lists it as uncharacterized. Lineage: Eukaryota; Metazoa; Chordata; Mammalia; Carnivora; Felidae. The transcript has 3 exons. The record is from RefSeq and is a predicted model, not a curated record.
GCGGUUGUUAGCAGCUGCAGCGGCGGCAGCGGGAGCCCUCCCGGGUCCUGUUUUCUCGGAGAAUUCUGCAGCCCGCGACUCAAGGCAAUUCGGUUCCACCCGAAACCUCAGCUCCAAAUGCCUUGUUUUAGAAGCUGGGGCUUUGGAGGUUCUGAGGACCGUUCCUGGGGAGGCGGGUGACAGUCUGUGAGGUUCUCGCGGCCCCUCUGAUUCCUGCACAGUUACCGAGGGAGAGAGUGCUAGAAAUGGCUUUGCUGCCGAAUGCAUUAUCUUGCCAUUUUCGUAUCCCGAUACAGCACGCACGAUCGCCUGAUCGAUCGGAAAUAGGAGGGAAAGGCAGAGUGGAAAUUGAUUUCUUGCUGAGACUCAGGCGCCGAAUGAUAGAGGGAAUAAACAUUUGCCCUGGAUAAAAAUGUUCUUGGCUGUGUUCCAGCCCUAAUAAGGACCUAGAGCAGAAGUUUUUCUUCAGUGAUCUAAUUUUACCCAAAAGCUCAUUUCUGUGUUAUGUCUCUGUUUUACGCAGGCUGACAAAUGUUGGUAGGGGGAUGGAUGCCCCGAAUUAAAUUUGUUACAAACUCAACCUUAACAGUUGUGAUGUAUUAGACAGCAUAUUUUUCGUGUAAGAUUUAAUAUGCUGCUAAACUUACUUACCUAAAUUGUGAUUCAAAGAAAUACAAUUGUUUUUUGAGGACCCAACUUAAGUUAGAAAGUAUAAUAUUAAAAUUUUUAUUUUAUAUGUAAAAUAAA